This 1678-nucleotide ribosomal RNA is filed under the name Salmonella enterica subsp. enterica serovar Senftenberg. RNAcentral's name for it is "partial 23S ribosomal RNA". It matches the Rfam family "Bacterial large subunit ribosomal RNA", at positions 1163 to 2802 of the family's 2925-position model. The record is from RNAcentral. Lineage: Bacteria; Pseudomonadati; Pseudomonadota; Gammaproteobacteria; Enterobacterales; Enterobacteriaceae.
UAAAGCGAUUCAGCGGGUUACGAUUGACGGAGCGAAGCGACGUCAAAGCGUAUACAAAGUCGAGUCGGUUUAAGGAUACGUUCGUUGGGUAGGGGAGCGUUCUGUAAGCCUGUGAAGGUGGCCUGUGAGGGUUGCUGGAGGUAUCAGAAGUGCGAAUGCUGACAUAAGUAACGAUAAAGCGGGUGAAAAGCCCGCUCGCCGGAAGACCAAGGGUUCCUGUCCAACGUUAAUCGGGGCAGGGUGAGUCGACCCCUAAGGCGAGGCCGAAAGGCGUAGUCGAUGGGAAACGGGUUAAUAUUCCCGUACUUGGUGUUACUGCGAAGGGGGGACGGAGAAGGCUAUGUUGGCCGGGCGACGGUUGUCCCGGUUUAAGCGUGUAGGCUGGUUUUCCAGGCAAAUCCGGAAAAUCAAGGCUGAGGCGUGAUGACGAGGCACUACGGUGCUGAAGCAACAAAUGCCCUGCUUCCAGGAAAAGCCUCUAAGCAUCAGGUAACAUCAAAUCGUACCCCAAACCGACACAGGUGGUCAGGUAGAGAAUACCAAGGCGCUUGAGAGAACUCGGGUGAAGGAACUAGGCAAAAUGGUGCCGUAACUUCGGGAGAAGGCACGCUGACACGUAGGUGAAGUGAUUUACUCAUGGAGCUGAAGUCAGUCGAAGAUACCAGCUGGCUGCAACUGUUUAUUAAAAACACAGCACUGUGCAAACACGAAAGUGGACGUAUACGGUGUGACGCCUGCCCGGUGCCGGAAGGUUAAUUGAUGGGGUCAGCGCAAGCGAAGCUCCUGAUCGAAGCCCCGGUAAACGGCGGCCGUAACUAUAACGGUCCUAAGGUAGCGAAAUUCCUUGUCGGGUAAGUUCCGACCUGCACGAAUGGCGUAAUGAUGGCCAGGCUGUCUCCACCCGAGACUCAGUGAAAUUGAACUCGCUGUGAAGAUGCAGUGUACCCGCGGCAAGACGGAAAGACCCCGUGAACCUUUACUAUAGCUUGACACUGAACAUUGAGCCUUGAUGUGUAGGAUAGGUGGGAGGCUUUGAAGUGUGGACGCCAGUCUGCAUGGAGCCGACCUUGAAAUACCACCCUUUAAUGUUUGAUGUUCUAACGUGGACCCGUAAUCCGGGUUGCGGACAGUGUCUGGUGGGUAGUUUGACUGGGGCGGUCUCCUCCUAAAGAGUAACGGAGGAGCACGAAGGUUGGCUAAUCCUGGUCGGACAUCAGGAGGUUAGUGCAAUGGCAUAAGCCAGCUUGACUGCGAGCGUGACGGCGCGAGCAGGUGCGAAAGCAGGUCAUAGUGAUCCGGUGGUUCUGAAUGGAAGGGCCAUCGCUCAACGGAUAAAAGGUACUCCGGGGAUAACAGGCUGAUACCGCCCAAGAGUUCAUAUCGACGGCGGUGUUUGGCACCUCGAUGUCGGCUCAUCACAUCCUGGGGCUGAAGUAGGUCCCAAGGGUAUGGCUGUUCGCCAUUUAAAGUGGUACGCGAGCUGGGUUUAGAACGUCGUGAGACAGUUCGGUCCCUAUCUGCCGUGGGCGCUGGAGAACUGAGGGGGGCUGCUCCUAGUACGAGAGGACCGGAGUGGACGCAUCACUGGUGUUCGGGUUGUCAUGCCAAUGGCACUGCCCGGUAGCUAAAUGCGGAAGAGAUAAGUGCUGAAAGCAUCUAAGCACGAAACUUGCCCCGA